This 77-nucleotide transfer RNA is filed under the name Oscillospiraceae bacterium. Its description in RNAcentral is "tRNA-Ile". It matches the Rfam family "tRNA". From Rfam's summary of the family: Transfer RNA (tRNA) molecules are approximately 80 nucleotides in length. Their secondary structure includes four short double-helical elements and three loops (D, anti-codon, and T loops). Further hydrogen bonds mediate the characteristic L-shaped molecular structure. tRNAs have two regions of fundamental functional importance: the anti-codon, which is responsible for specific mRNA codon recognition, and the 3' end, to which the tRNAs corresponding amino acid is attached (by aminoacyl-tRNA synthetases). tRNAs cope with the degeneracy of the genetic code in two manners: having more than one tRNA (with a specific anti-codon) for a particular amino acid; and 'wobble' base-pairing, i.e. permitting non-standard base-pairing at the 3rd anti-codon position. Lineage: Bacteria; Bacillati; Bacillota; Clostridia; Eubacteriales; Oscillospiraceae. RNAcentral also lists the same sequence under 1 other name. The record is from RNAcentral.
GGGCCAGUAGCUCAAUUGGUUAGAGCUGUCCGCUCAUAACGGACUGGUCGCGGGUUCAACUCCUGCCUGGCCCACCA